UCCCUAGUGGCUCAGACGGUAAAGUGUCUGUCCGCAAUGCAGGAGACCCAGAUUCGAUCCCUGGGUUGGGAA
Molecule: non-coding RNA, 72 nt
Organism: Bos taurus (domestic cattle)
Lineage: Eukaryota; Metazoa; Chordata; Mammalia; Artiodactyla; Bovidae
Source: Rfam